CGCUGGCGGCAGGCCUAACACAUGCAAGUCGAGCGGUAGCACAGAGAGCUUGCUCUCGGGUGACGAGCGGCGGACGGGUGAGUAAUGUCUGGGAAACUGCCUGAUGGAGGGGGAUAACUACUGGAAACGGUAGCUAAUACCGCAUAAUGUCGCAAGACCAAAGUGGGGGACCUUCGGGCCUCAUGCCAUCAGAUGUGCCCAGAUGGGAUUAGCUAGUAGGUGGGGUAACGGCUCACCUAGGCGACGAUCCCUAGCUGGUCUGAGAGGAUGACCAGCCACACUGGAACUGAGACACGGUCCAGACUCCUACGGGAGGCAGCAGUGGGGAAUAUUGCACAAUGGGCACAAGCCUGAUGCAGCCAUGCCGCGUGUAUGAAGAAGGCCUUCGGGUUGUAAAGUACUUUCAGCGGGGAGGAAGGCGAUAAGGUUAAUAACCUUGUCGAUUGACGUUACCCGCAGAAGAAGCACCGGCUAACUCCGUGCCAGCAGCCGCGGUAAUACGGAGGGUGCAAGCGUUAAUCGGAAUUACUGGGCGUAAAGCGCACGCAGGCGGUCUGUCAAGUCGGAUGUGAAAUCCCCGGGCUCAACCUGGGAACUGCAUUCGAAACUGGCAGGCUAGAGUCUUGUAGAGGGGGGUAGAAUUCCAGGUGUAGCGGUGAAAUGCGUAGAGAUCUGGAGGAAUACCGGUGGCGAAGGCGGCCCCCUGGACAAAGACUGACGCUCAGGUGCGAAAGCGUGGGGAGCAAACAGGAUUAGAUACCCUGGUAGUCCACGCCGUAAACGAUGUCGAUUUGGAGGUUGUGCCCUUGAGGCGUGGCUUCCGGAGCUAACGCGUUAAAUCGACCGCCUGGGGAGUACGGCCGCAAGGUUAAAACUCAAAUGAAUUGACGGGGGCCCGCACAAGCGGUGGAGCAUGUGGUUUAAUUCGAUGCAACGCGAAGAACCUUACCUGGUCUUGACAUCCACAGAACUUAGCAGAGAUGCUUUGGUGCCUUCGGGAACUGUGAGACAGGUGCUGCAUGGCUGUCGUCAGCUCGUGUUGUGAAAUGUUGGGUUAAGUCCCGCAACGAGCGCAACCCUUAUCCUUUGUUGCCAGCGGUUAGGCCGGGAACUCAAAGGAGACUGCCAGUGAUAAACUGGAGGAAGGUGGGGAUGACGUCAAGUCAUCAUGGCCCUUACGACCAGGGCUACACACGUGCUACAAUGGCGCAUACAAAGAGAAGCGACCUCGCGAGAGCAAGCGGACCUCAUAAAGUGCGUCGUAGUCCGGAUUGGAGUCUGCAACUCGACUCCAUGAAGUCGGAAUCGCUAGUAAUCGUAGAUCAGAAUGCUACGGUGAAUACGUUCCCGGGCCUUGUACACACCGCCCGUCACACCAUGGGAGUGGGUUGCAAAAGAAGUAGGUAGCUUAACCUUCGGGAGGGCGCUUACCACUUUGUGAUUCAUGACUGGGGUG
Molecule: ribosomal RNA, 1456 nt
Filed under: uncultured organism
Description: SSU rRNA
Rfam family: Bacterial small subunit ribosomal RNA
Source: RNAcentral